GCCGGUAUAGUAUAAUGGCAAUACGGGUCCAUGGUAAGGAUCAACUCGUGGUUCAAUUCCGCGUACCGGCACCA
RNAcentral lists this transfer RNA (74 nucleotides) under Chlamydia trachomatis. RNAcentral's name for it is "tRNA-Thr(ggt)". It matches the Rfam family "tRNA". Rfam says of the family: Transfer RNA (tRNA) molecules are approximately 80 nucleotides in length. RNAcentral also lists the same sequence under 3 other names. Lineage: Bacteria; Pseudomonadati; Chlamydiota; Chlamydiia; Chlamydiales; Chlamydiaceae. The record is from RNAcentral.